Molecule: ribosomal RNA, 520 nt
Filed under: uncultured fungus
Lineage: Eukaryota; Fungi
Description: SSU rRNA
Rfam family: Eukaryotic small subunit ribosomal RNA
Source: RNAcentral
AGCAGCCGCGGUAAUUCCAGCUCCAAUAGCGUAUAUUAAAGUUGUUGCAGUUAAAAAGCUCGUAGUUGAAUUUCGGGAUCGGCAUGUUGGUCGUGCCUUACGGGGUAUGAACUGGCAUCGCCGGUUUCUCACCUUCUGGAGAAUCGUGAUGCUCUUAAUUGGGUGUUACGUGGAUCCAGGACCUUUACCUUGAAAAAAUUAGAGUGUUUAAAGCAGGCAUAUUGCUCGAAUACAUUAGCAUGGAAUAAUAAAAUAGGACGGUUUGGUUCUAUUUUGUUGGUUUCUAGGAUCACCGUAAUGAUUAAUAGGGAUAGUUGGGGGCAUUAGUAUUCAAUUGUCAGAGGUGAAAUUCUUGGAUUUAUUGAAGACUAACUACUGCGAAAGCAUUUGCCAAGGAUGUUUUCAUUAAUCUAAGAACGAAAGUUAGGGGAAUCGAAGACGAUCAGAUACUGUCGUAGUCUUAACCAUAAACUAUGCCGACUAGGAAUCAGACGAUGUUAAUUUUUUAAUGUACUCGUUU